This 1213-nucleotide ribosomal RNA is filed under the name Candidatus Phytoplasma hispanicum. RNAcentral's name for it is "bacterial SSU rRNA". It matches the Rfam family "Bacterial small subunit ribosomal RNA", at positions 186 to 1400 of the family's 1533-position model. The record is from RNAcentral. Lineage: Bacteria; Bacillati; Mycoplasmatota; Mollicutes; Acholeplasmatales; Acholeplasmataceae.
AGGCAUCUUCUUAUUUUUAAAAGACCUAGCAAUAGGUAUGCUUAAGGAGGGGCUUGCGUCACAUUAGUUAGUUGGUAGGGUAAAAGCCUACCAAGACAAUGAUGUGUAGCCGGGCUGAGAGGUUGAACGGCCACAUUGGAACUGAGACACGGUCCAAACUCCUACGGGAGGCAGCAGUAGGGAAUUUUCGGCAAUGGAGGAAACUCUGACCGAGCAACGCCGCGUGAACGAUGAAGUAUUUCGGUACGUAAAGUUCUUUUAUUAAGGAAGAAAAGAUGGUGGAAAAACCAUUAUGACGGUACUUAAUGAAUAAGCCCCGGCUAACUAUGUGCCAGCAGCCGCGGUAAUACAUAGGGGGCGAGCGUUAUCCGGAAUUAUUGGGCGUAAAGGGUGCGUAGGCGGUUUAAUAAGUUUAUGGUCUAAGUGCAAUGCUUAACAUUGUGAUGCUAUAAAAACUGUUUGACUAGAGUUGGAUAGAGGCAAGUGGAAUUCCAUGUGUAGUGGUAAAAUGCGUAAAUAUAUGGAGGAACACCAUGAGCGAAGGCGGCUUGCUGGGUCUUAACUGACGCUGAGGCACGAAAGCGUGGGGAGCAAACAGGAUUAGAUACCCUGGUAGUCCACGCCGUAAACGAUGAGUACUAGACGUUGGGUUAAACCAGUGUCGAAGUUAACACAUUAAGUACUCCGCCUGAGUAGUACGUACGCAAGUAUGAAACUUAAAGGAAUUGACGGGACUCCGCACAAGCGGUGGAUCAUGUUGUUUAAUUCGAAGGUACCCGAAAAACCUCACCAGGUCUUGACAUGUUUCUGCAAAGCUGUAGAAAUACAGCGGAGGUUAUCAGUUGCACAGGUGGUGCAUGGUUGUCGUCAGCUCGUGUCGUGAGAUGUUGGGUUAAGUCCCGCAACGAGCGCAACCCUUGUUGUUAAUUGCCAUCAUUAAGUUGGGGACUUUAGCAAGACUGCCAGUGAUAAAUUGGAGGAAGGUGGGGACGACGUCAAAUCAUCAUGCCCCUUAUGACCUGGGCUACAAACGUGAUACAAUGGCUGUUACAAAGGGUAGCUGAAGCGCAAGCUUUUGGCAAAUCUCAAAAAAACAGUCUCAGUUCGGAUUGAAGUCUGCAACUCGACUUCAUGAAGUUGGAAUCGCUAGUAAUCGCGAAUCAGCANCNNNGCGGUGAAUACGUUCUCGGGGUUUGUACACACCGCCCGUCAA